GACGAACGCUGGCGGCGUGCUUAACACAUGCAAGUCGAACGGGCCUGUCUUCUUUUUUGGGGGUGGGUUGAGUGGCGAACGGGUGAGUAUCACGUGAGUAACCUGCCCUUCGGUCCUGGAUAACCGCUUGAAAGGGCGGCUAAUACGGGGUGGUCCGGUUGGUCCGCAUGGGCUGGUCGGGAUAGAUUCACUGUUUUUGGUGUUUCGGCGGGGGAUGGGCUCGCGGCCUAUCAGCUUGUUGGUGGGGUGAUGGCCUACCAAGGCGGUGACGGGUAGCCGGCAUGAGAGGGUGGGCGGCCACACUGGGACUGGGAUACGGCCCAGACUCCUGCGGGAGGCAGCAGUGGGGGGUAUUGCACAAUGGGCGGAAGCCUGAUGCAGCGACGUCGCGUGAGGGAUGGAGGCCUUCGGGUUGUGAACCUCUGUUUCCGGUGGUGAAGGCCCUGUCCGUGUGGUGGGGUUGACGGUAGCCGGGGAUGAAGCGCCGGCUAACUACGUG
Molecule: ribosomal RNA, 499 nt
Filed under: uncultured bacterium
Lineage: Bacteria
Description: partial 16S ribosomal RNA
Rfam family: Bacterial small subunit ribosomal RNA
Source: RNAcentral